UGCAAAUAACUUUGCUUUCUUUUUUAUUUAAAAAAUUCAAUAUAAUAAAAAAGGGAACCAAUAUUAAUAAUACACUGAAAUUAUAUGCUGUCUUCCUUAGUUGUUUCAUAUACGCAAAGCCAAAGGGCAAAGGGCCAAAGGCCGUCGUGUUUUAAAUCCAUUAUAAAAUUAAUAUUUAAAACAAACUUACCUUCGUUAACGUCGGUUCCCUUCUUUUAGCCGAUUCUUUCGCCCUUUCUUUCUGAGAAAGCUUUUGAAAUUUACAAAAUCUUGCAAAAAUGCGAGCAAAAAUAAAAUAUAUUAUAUUUGCAGGAAAUUUAUCAAUCAUCAAAUCAAGAAAUGUUUGCCGAUUUCGCUGUCGUCAUGCAGUCGUUAUAAUGCAAACUUUAAAUUGGACCAAUCACAACCUCGUCCCCAGGGCCGCCAUAUUUUUGAGAUCAGUGAGCCUAAACACCCACCCAACACCCCAACAUCGUUGGUGAGCCACGCCCGCGAUCAUUGAUGAACUUUAGACUUCGCUAAUGCUUUCGUUUCCCCGGGUGUAAAUAGCCAGGGGGAAUUAGUACCCUCGCACGGCGCUUCGCGCCGUCGGCUCGGGGAUUAAAAAUGCAUUACGUUCAAUUCUUGGUUUUCGGUCGUUUGCCCGUUUACCAGUGGAUUCGACUAAUUUUUCUCGUCAUUUUGAUAGUAUUUUGAGCCCAAACUAUUUUAUUUUGAAGGUUUUAAAUUGCAGUUUGAAUAAGCGAAAUUGUAUUGUUGACAAAUCGCUCAAAAUUAUUAAACUAAUUAAAAAUGCAGUACGUUUGAAAUAACUUUGGUAACGUUGGUUUUCUCUUUUCGGCCGUAUACCAGUAUAUUCAUCUCACUUUUCUCUUCAUUUUGAUAGUAUUUCAUGUGCUAAAACCUGGACGAUGGACGUCGACCAUCGUCCAUCGUCCAAUAAAACCUGGACGAUGGAGUCCAUCGUCCAAUAAAACCUGGACGAUGGACGUCCAUAGUCCAUUGUCCAAUAAAAUCUGCACGAUGGACGUCCAUCGUAUGAUUGGUUUAUAAGACAAAAUAUUUUUUAAUCUGUCUUUUGAUUGGUUGGUCUAAUUAGAUUAUACUAUUAUUGUUGAUAUAUUUUAUAGUGAUCACAACUAUAAUUAGUUUGUUGUUGUCGUUGUGUGAAAUUUAAAUUUCUCCUGCGACAUUUUGAUUGGAUACUAAAUAUAAACUUUGCUGUGCGAGGGUGGAAAGCGAUCGGAUUAAGGUUUGUGUCAGGCUCUAUUUUUUAUAGAACCUGAUCUGAAAACGUUUUCUAUAGUUGUUACUUAUUUCUAGAUACAUUAUUUAGAGGGAUGCGUCUUAGUCCCCCCCACCCACCCUCCCUCCCUAAAUAAUUUUGUGAACGUCAGGAAAAUGUUCGGCCGUCCCCUAAUUACUUUUCCUCCCGUACCGCCUAUAUGGGCACACCUGUAGACAGCUAUUGACUGGGAACCACUAAUGUAUGUACUAAUAUUAAUGUACUAAUAUUUAUUCAUAGAAUUUAUGUAAUACAAGACGCUGAUAAAUCCCCAUUUCUAGCUGCUCUUGUUUUGGUGACUUUUUUCAGUUGCAGCAACAAGAGAACCAAAGAGCGAGUCUUUGUUUGCCAGAAGUGCAGACGGUUUGUCAAAUUCAACAAUCUG
Molecule: long non-coding RNA, 1670 nt
Filed under: Paramuricea clavata
Lineage: Eukaryota; Metazoa; Cnidaria; Anthozoa; Malacalcyonacea; Plexauridae
Source: RNAcentral